GGGUUGUGAGGUUAAGCGACUAAGCGUACACGGUGGAUGCCCUGGCAGUCAGAGGCGAUGAAGGACGUGCUAAUCUGCGAUAAGCGUCGGUAAGGUGAUAUGAACCGUUAUAACCGGCGAUUUCCGAAUGGGGAAACCCAGUGUGUUUCGACACACUAUCAUUAACUGAAUCCAUAGGUUAAUGAGGCGAACCGGGGGAACUGAAACAUCUAAGUACCCCGAGGAAAAGAAAUCAACCGAGAUUCCCCCAGUAGCGGCGAGCGAACGGGGAGCAGCCCAGAGCCUGAAUCAGUAUGUGUGUUAGUGGAAGCGUCUGGAAAGGCGCGCGAUACAGGGUGACAGCCCCGUACACAAAAAUGCACAUGCUGUGAGCUCGAUGAGUAGGGCGGGACACGUGGUAUCCUGUCUGAAUAUGGGGGGACCAUCCUCCAAGGCUAAAUACUCCUGACUGACCGAUAGUGAACCAGUACCGUGAGGGAAAGGCGAAAAGAACCCCGGCGAGGGGAGUGAAAAAGAACCUGAAACCGUGUACGUACAAGCAGUGGGAGCACGCUUAGGCGUGUGACUGCGUACCUUUUGUAUAAUGGGUCAGCGACUUAUAUUCUGUAGCAAGGUUAACCGAAUAGGGGAGCCGAAGGGAAACCGAGUCUUAACUGGGCGUUAAGUUGCAGGGUAUAGACCCGAAACCCGGUGAUCUAGCCAUGGGCAGGUUGAAGGUUGGGUAACACUAACUGGAGGACCGAACCGACUAAUGUUGAAAAAUUAGCGGAUGACUUGUGGCUGGGGGUGAAAGGCCAAUCAAACCGGGAGAUAGCUGGUUCUCCCCGAAAGCUAUUUAGGUAGCGCCUCGUGAAUUCAUCUCCGGGGGUAGAGCACUGUUUCGGCAAGGGGGUCAUCCCGACUUACCAACCCGAUGCAAACUGCGAAUACCGGAGAAUGUUAUCACGGGAGACACACGGCGGGUGCUAACGUCCGUCGUGAAGAGGGAAACAACCCAGACCGCCAGCUAAGGUCCCAAAGUCAUGGUUAAGUGGGAAACGAUGUGGGAAGGCCCAGACAGCCAGGAUGUUGGCUUAGAAGCAGCCAUCAUUUAAAGAAAGCGUAAUAGCUCACUGGUCGAGUCGGCCUGCGCGGAAGAUGUAACGGGGCUAAACCAUGCACCGAAGCUGCGGCAGCGACACUAUGUGUUGUUGGGUAGGGGAGCGUUCUGUAAGCCUGUGAAGGUGUACUGUGAGGUAUGCUGGAGGUAUCAGAAGUGCGAAUGCUGACAUAAGUAACGAUAAAGCGGGUGAAAAGCCCGCUCGCCGGAAGACCAAGGGUUCCUGUCCAACGUUAAUCGGGGCAGGGUGAGUCGACCCCUAAGGCGAGGCCGAAAGGCGUAGUCGAUGGGAAACAGGUUAAUAUUCCUGUACUUGGUGUUACUGCGAAGGGGGGACGGAGAAGGCUAUGUUGGCCGGGCGACGGUUGUCCCGGUUUAAGCGUGUAGGCUGGUUUUCCAGGCAAAUCCGGAAAAUCAAGGCUGAGGCGUGAUGACGAGGCACUACGGUGCUGAAGCAACAAAUGCCCUGCUUCCAGGAAAAGCCUCUAAGCAUCAGGUAACAUCAAAUCGUACCCCAAACCGACACAGGUGGUCAGGUAGAGAAUACCAAGGCGCUUGAGAGAACUCGGGUGAAGGAACUAGGCAAAAUGGUGCCGUAACUUCGGGAGAAGGCACGCUGAUAUGUAGGUGAAGUCCCUCGCGGAUGGAGCUGAAAUCAGUCGAAGAUACCAGCUGGCUGCAACUGUUUAUUAAAAACACAGCACUGUGCAAACACGAAAGUGGACGUAUACGGUGUGACGCCUGCCCGGUGCCGGAAGGUUAAUUGAUGGGGUCAGCGCAAGCGAAGCUCUUGAUCGAAGCCCCGGUAAACGGCGGCCGUAACUAUAACGGUCCUAAGGUAGCGAAAUUCCUUGUCGGGUAAGUUCCGACCUGCACGAAUGGCGUAAUGAUGGCCAGGCUGUCUCCACCCGAGACUCAGUGAAAUUGAACUCGCUGUGAAGAUGCAGUGUACCCGCGGCAAGACGGAAAGACCCCGUGAACCUUUACUAUAGCUUGACACUGAACAUUGAGCCUUGAUGUGUAGGAUAGGUGGGAGGCUUUGAAGUGUGGACGCCAGUCUGCAUGGAGCCGACCUUGAAAUACCACCCUUUAAUGUUUGAUGUUCUAACGUGGACCCGUAAUCCGGGUUGCGGACAGUGUCUGGUGGGUAGUUUGACUGGGGCGGUCUCCUCCUAAAGAGUAACGGAGGAGCACGAAGGUUGGCUAAUCCUGGUCGGACAUCAGGAGGUUAGUGCAAUGGCAUAAGCCAGCUUGACUGCGAGCGUGACGGCGCGAGCAGGUGCGAAAGCAGGUCAUAGUGAUCCGGUGGUUCUGAAUGGAAGGGCCAUCGCUCAACGGAUAAAAGGUACUCCGGGGAUAACAGGCUGAUACCGCCCAAGAGUUCAUAUCGACGGCGGUGUUUGGCACCUCGAUGUCGGCUCAUCACAUCCUGGGGCUGAAGUAGGUCCCAAGGGUAUGGCUGUUCGCCAUUUAAAGUGGUACGCGAGCUGGGUUUAGAACGUCGUGAGACAGUUCGGUCCCUAUCUGCCGUGGGCGCUGGAGAAUUGAGGGGGGCUGCUCCUAGUACGAGAGGACCGGAGUGGACGCAUCACUGGUGUUCGGGUUGUCAUGCCAAUGGCACUGCCCGGUAGCUAAAUGCGGAAGAGAUAAGUGCUGAAAGCAUCUAAGCACGAAACUUGCCCCGAGAUGAGUUCUCCCUGACUCCUUGAGAGUCCUGAAGGAACGUUGAAGACGACGACGUUGAUAGGCCGGGUGUGUAAGCGCAGCGAUGCGUUGAGCUAACCGGUACUAAUGAACCGUGAGGCUUAACCUUACAACGCCGAAG
Molecule: ribosomal RNA, 2924 nt
Filed under: Escherichia coli
Lineage: Bacteria; Pseudomonadati; Pseudomonadota; Gammaproteobacteria; Enterobacterales; Enterobacteriaceae
Description: partial 23S ribosomal RNA
Rfam family: Bacterial large subunit ribosomal RNA
Source: RNAcentral